This 3810-nucleotide long non-coding RNA is filed under the name Pan troglodytes (chimpanzee). RNAcentral's name for it is "long non-coding RNA NONPTRT008838". The record is from RNAcentral. Lineage: Eukaryota; Metazoa; Chordata; Mammalia; Primates; Hominidae.
GCAAAAUGCAUUAAAAUUUUAAAAUAGCAAUUAAAUAUACAAAAAUAUAGCUUACAAAAAACUGCGAAUGUUUAAAAAUAUUCUGCUGCAGAAUUUUUAGUGUACAAACACGUCUAUGAAACCUGAGGUUCAGCAUUUCAUAAACUUUUUUUUGAGGGAGUUACACAAUACCUAGUGAGGAAACCCGAGGGCCAAACUACAAGACGAAAAAGUGCCCCGUUCCUGGCAAUGAUGUCAGAAGACCAAGAGGCGAUAGUUACCAGCAACACUCUAGGAAGACCAGCUGUCACCAGAAGGGAGUUCCUAACACUUGCCACACCUGCUCCCCCGACCCCCCCGCCCUAGUGGGGGCCUGGGAGGGAAGGGCAGAUGGAGAGGAACGGUGUGCAGUGGGCGUGAGAUGCAGAUCCACCAGGCUUGGGACUGGCAAAGGGAGCUGAGUAGAGAGUUCCCCCAAAGCACAAACAAGUCUGCUGACACUGGUGGAGCCCUUAUAGUCACAGAAGUAAGGACUGGAUGGUAAGCCAAAGGUGCUGACGCUUGGUCAAAAAGUGGAGUACAUCUUUGCAUCUUGUAACAAUUUGGGCUCUAUAGCUGAAUUGGCAAAGUAAGGUUUACUGAACAAGCCCCUCUUUUUCUUCUGAUAUCCCCACUCAAAUGGAAGCACAUUCCCCAGCACAUGGGGAUCCCUUAUUAAUCUUUACUAAAGAACCGUGACCCAGCAUUUUCCAGUUAUCAACUGGAUAUUUAGGCAUGAAUCUGGACAUGUCCAUCUGCUUAAGAAAUCUGUAACAGCUACAGGAAAAGACACACCCAGGGCCAGAGAUUCUACAAAUGCCAGAAGAGUGGACGUGAUAGAGAAUUUUUUCUCAAGUUUUGGGUUAGGGCACCAGUUGCAAUUUUAAUCCAGGGGAGGAUCUGGGCUGCUGCUGUAGGGGGCAAGUACACCAGGGAGGUGGGUGUGGACAGAGGCACUGGGCAGCUGCUGGGAAGCGAGGCACAAGUCUGUGCCCCUACUCCCAGGGCUGCCUGGAGGAAGCAGCUCUAACUUUCAUCAGCGGGGACAAAAAUGAACUUAAACUAAAAAAAUUAUUGGCCGGAAGCAUUUUCUUUUCAAAGUGUGUGCAUAGAGUGAGGAGGCCAGCCUGGGCAACAUAGUGAGUUGAGACCUGUCUCUACAAAAAAAUUAUGAAAAUUAGCCAGGUGUGCUGGUGUGCACCUGUAGACGCAGCUGCAGACUGAGGCGGGAGGAUCACUUGAGUCCAGGAAGUUGAGGCUGCAGUGAGCUACAAUGGUGCCACUGCACUCCAGUCUGGGUAACAAGACCCUGUCUCAACAACAACGAAAAGUUGGGAGGGAAAGGGAGUAGCUCCAUGAACUGACGCUGGACAUUCAGGCAUAUCCACAUGAGACUCACUGUGCACUUGCUCAGUAGCUAAGAUGUCUGCCCCACAAAAUAGAAGCCUUCAGUUGCUGCUGCUCAAACUCCUGCAUCAAAGACACAAGAGCUUGCCUAAGUGACCACAACAGUUGUAGCCACACAUCACCACUGGUCCUCACUUGGAACUGGCCAAGGUAGGGGAGGGGCCAGCAGCUGUCCAGGCACCUGCAGAGGCUGCUCAGAGCUGGGAGAGGCCUGUGCCACUGCUGUCAGCUACAGAGCCUGAUCUUGAGCAUCCUGUCGCAGAUAGAAAGUUAAUCAGAAAAAUCUGGUUGUGCUCUUGGAUUAGCUGGGCAUUUGGGGUAAGGGAGGGACUGCAGAUUCUGAUUUGUACAGAAAACUAAAAUUUCAGUAUGUUGCAAUAAAAUGAAAAUAUGUCUUACUCAACAGGAGUGUGAUUGCAAAAACAUCCCCCAAUUCUGGGUUCACAUUUUGUAUUCUGAUUUCUGGGAUGGCUCUUCCCACAUUAGUAGGAGCGUUCCUUGAAUACACUUGUCUGGUACCACAUGAGUAGAAAAGGAGAAAAAUUAUAUAGACACACAUGCGUAAAUGAUCUCUGGAAGGAUACCCAAGGAACAAACCAAUAGUAGGUAUUCAUGGAGUGAGGAGCGGAGCUUGCUAGGCAUCAGGAACUCAAGAAAGGCUUUUAACUACUUUAUGAUUUGUGAACCACAUGAAUGGAUUACCUAUUCAAAACAUUAAGAAAGAAAUAUUCAGCACUGAACAACCAAGUCAGAGUUCACUGUGGGCAAAGGCAGAGAUGACCAAGGAAGAAAGGGGCCAGGUGAACCUGGGCCUCAGGGAAAGCCCCUACAGCUCCGGAAGCUUUUUGGCUGAGGUUCUAUUCCUAUCAAUCAUGAUGGCAGAGGAGCCCAUGGAACCCAUAUGAUGUUAGGUGGUAUCAGCAGCCCCCAUGACACCAGGCCUGCUGCCCACCAGGCUCUGGGCACCAGCUAACCCCCACAAGAGGUGCCAGGGACGUUACUACAAUCCCUGGGUGGUAGCUAAGGAAGCUAAGGAAGAGACUGAGAGGCUAACCUGCAGAAGGGCCUAAGGCUAGUGAGUGACAAGAGGUGAUUCCAUCACUCUCUGCCUGGAGCUCUGGGGAUACUGCCCUGGAUGUAUCUGGAUGUAUUUCAUAAUGCCCAAAAAGCCUCUGAGAAAAAUAAUUCCUAGUUUUUCAAAGUAGCUUAGAGCGGGAUCAGGCCAGGGAGAUGACAUGAUUUUGAAGUGGGGUUGUGAAAAAGGACAAGGCCCGAGGCUAUUUCUCUGAUGGAUCCAAGGGGCUUGGCACUGGGGAGAAGGAUCUUCUUGUCAAGAACAGGGUAUCCGGCAAUGGUGGGAGGUCCCCUGUAUCCCUCAGCUCAGACCUUCCCAGGGGCCACCUGCCCCUAUUUGGCCAUUUCUGUCCUGCCUUCCCCGGCUAGGCAAGCACAGGCUUCAAGGACCUUAUCUGCCAGGGACAGGCCUAACCAAAUCACACGUGGCAAAGAAAAGCAGCAGAUGUCAACUUCCUAGUGUCUGAUACUGACCCAACCAGGAAUCAAGUCAGGCUGGUUUUGUUCCCUGUUUCUGAAGCCAGUUGAAUUCAGUUGUACCCCUAGCAACUACUAAUGGUUCAGCCACCCAUGGAGUCCAGUUGGGGCUGAGUUAUGCUCCACUAACCCAUAGCAGACCAGCAACAUUCUAUCUUUGAGCUGCUUAAGAAACACACAAAGGAUACCAGCCAGUGGUCCAAGAGCAGACCAGAAUCCCCACGCAUCUACCAGUAACAAGUCCCAGCAACUCCUGAAGAUAGAUGCGGAAAGGGUGACUUUACCAUGGGGUUCGAGUCUGAGCCAAGAGAGUUAUAAAGGGGUCCCUAACUCAUUCUUUUUUCAAAAUAAAUAAAUAAAAAAAAGGAUUGUCUUUCAAACAAAAAACUCUGCGAUUUUCAUGAGAAUUAACGGAGGGUGUCAAUUAAAAGGCCUGUUUGUCUGUUUGUCUGUGCAGCAAAGCAGAUGCGCAGGCCCAUCCUGGUGGAGGACCCAGAUGCAGGGAGCAAAUAUUCGGGUUGUGUUGCUGAGUCGCAGGAACUACUGCUAGGGAUACUAGGCUUGCUGCAGGAGGAUGUCACGCUGAGAAAGGGAGAUGACUAGGAGCAGAAAAAGUGCUCUCACUGUUCCAGCUUCCAGCCCAAUCCUAGCAGAAUGAAUGCAUUUUAAAAUCACUCCACAUUCACAUGUGCUGAGAAGGUUGUUAGUGGUCCCUCAUCUGGGCAAAGCAGACCCAAGAUGGUGCUGAGUGCAGAGUGCAGAGCAUUCUUGUGCUCUCCUCUCACGGCUGGAACUAUCUGGGCUUUGCGCCCUGGUCCAGUGCUACGUAUCAAC